GCCCAGAUAGUUCAGUCGGUAGAACACCAGUUUGAAGAACUGGGUGUCGGUGGUUCAACUCCACCUCUGGGCACCA
Molecule: transfer RNA, 76 nt
Filed under: Agitococcus sp.
Lineage: Bacteria; Pseudomonadati; Pseudomonadota; Gammaproteobacteria; Moraxellales; Moraxellaceae
Description: tRNA-Phe
Rfam family: tRNA
About the family: Transfer RNA (tRNA) molecules are approximately 80 nucleotides in length.
Source: RNAcentral